Molecule: long non-coding RNA, 286 nt
Filed under: Vigna radiata
Lineage: Eukaryota; Viridiplantae; Streptophyta; Magnoliopsida; Fabales; Fabaceae
Description: long non-coding RNA (VRAD_LNC009632)
Source: RNAcentral
AAUGACGUUAUGAGAAACCAUAAUGCAAUGCCGCAAGAGAUAAAAAGUAGAGGUGCGCAAGCGAGUAAAAGAAGAGGAGAAGCAGAGAAAAAGGAGAAGAGAUGAAGACGCGAUCAGAAACUGAAUGGCGAUAAGAGUCUGCGGUCUAUUUAAAAUGAAAUGGGGCAUCGGUUGAUCCAGAAACCGACGUCUAUAGACGUCGGUGUUUCAGGGGAUUCGACGUCUAUUCUACGUCAAAGAAGCUGAAAAGAUUGACGUUUGAUUUCCUGUCAGGGUAGUUCACGUC